This 497-nucleotide ribosomal RNA is filed under the name uncultured bacterium. Its description in RNAcentral is "partial 16S ribosomal RNA". It matches the Rfam family "Bacterial small subunit ribosomal RNA", at positions 28 to 507 of the family's 1533-position model. The record is from RNAcentral.
GAUGAACGCUGGCGGCGUGCCUAAUACAUGCAAGUCGAGCGAACGGACGCGAAGCUUGCUUCUCUGAUGUUAGCGGCGGACGGGUGAGUAACACGUGGAUAACCUACCUAUAAGACUGGGAUAACUUCGGGAAACCGUAGCUAAUACCGGAUAAUCUUUUGAACCGCAUGGUUCAAAAGUGAAAGACGGUCUUGCUGUCACUUAUAGAUGGAUCCGCGCUGCAUUAGCUAGUUGGUAAGGUAACGGCUUACCAAGGCAACGAGGCAUAGCCGACCUGAGAGGGUGAUCGGCCACACUGGAACUGAGACGCGGUCAAGACUCCUACGGGAGGCAGCAGUAGGGAAUCUUCCGCAAUGGUCGAAAGCCUGACGGAGCAACGCCGCGUGAGUGAUGAAGGUCUUCGGAUCGUAAAACUCUGUUAUUAGGGAAGAACAUAUGUGUAAGUAACUGUGCACAUCGUGACGGUACCUAAUCAGAAAGCCACGGCUAACUACGUG